RNAcentral lists this long non-coding RNA (444 nucleotides) under Penaeus monodon (black tiger shrimp). Its description in RNAcentral is "uncharacterized LOC119587557". The record is from RNAcentral. Lineage: Eukaryota; Metazoa; Arthropoda; Malacostraca; Decapoda; Penaeidae.
GUAUAUAUGUCUUUUAAAGUUGACGAUCUACAGAUUCGACUGCAAAUCUAAGGGAAUGAAGAUGAAGAGCGGCAAACUCUCUAGCUGUGUUGUUGGCUGUCAGCGUACUGCUCGUCAAAGGAAUUCAGUCCAAAUCGUGUUGCGGAGGACUGAUCUGGACUGUAGGACAUACCCUCAACGAUUUGAACGUCUCCUAAUGAGACAUUUUUAGUAUCCUAGGUGUGCUCAUAAUUGAAUGUUUACAAAUAAUAAUUUUUUUCGGCUUACAUUAUUAAUUCAACUUGGUGAUCUUGAUUAGUGCAUGAUGCUAAUGAUGCCAGUUAUUAUGAAUGUGAUAUCAAUAAUGACAAUGAAAAGCAACAGUAUCAUUAUUUAUCAUAAUGCUGAUUUUAUAGGAUCUAUGUCUGUAUCAUCACUAUUGCUUUAUUAUUACGAUCUUGAUUA